This is a long non-coding RNA of Felis catus (domestic cat), 1922 nucleotides long. RefSeq lists it as uncharacterized. The transcript is spliced from 3 exons. Lineage: Eukaryota; Metazoa; Chordata; Mammalia; Carnivora; Felidae. The record is from RefSeq and is a predicted model, not a curated record.
AAAUCAAGAGCUGGAUGUGCAAACGACAGAUACUCAGGUGGCCCAGGAUUAAUUUUUAGUAAUGGAAUGGCUGGGUUAAAUGGGGUGAAUAUCAUUUUAACUCUUUUAAGCUAUUACUCUCUUGCUUUAUAUACACUGUGACAACUCUGUGUAGGUGUGUACUUUAGACCGAGAUCACCCACAACGAGGGUUACGAUUUUCAGUUUAUCUUUACUAAUUAAAUAAGCAUAAAAUAUUAUUUUCAGUUCCAUUUCAAUUUCUAUUUGAGUCAUGGCCACCACCUUUGAAGUACCACUCCUCCGUGGUCAACGCAGACAUUUUAAGCACCACUAACUAAACUGCUAUUUCCAGGUUCUUUUAAAUCAACUUGGGUUCGACUUUGGUUAUAGACUUCAUUAACAUCUAGAAACGUGACAACCUGCACCUGCUUCAUAGGUGCCCUUCCCUGGCUCCCCUCACCUUCUCCCUAUUCUUGUCUAUGCUGGUGUCUACACAGGUCAGCAUCUCUCUAGAUUGUGCAUCUGUUCUGCCUUAUGAGUUAUGUCUAACUGCAUUUCUUUCUCUAGAAACAUGUUUUGACUCUUUGUUCCAAAUGCUCAGGACUACUGUUCUAUUCCAACAAUGCUGGCAGAGCCCAAAAUAGUUUGGAAAAUUUUCUUUGGAAAUUGUUGUCAAAGCCAUUGGCAUGUUCUUUUGAAUAUCCUUAUUAGUGGCAAAACUUGGUAUUUAGAAGGUAGAUUUUUAAAAUUCGUUUUGGAAGGAAACUAGUAUCUUUUACAUAACUUUCCAAAUCAGACGGAUCCUGUCAGAGGCCAAAAGCCAUGCCAUUAUUUCAGCAGGGAGACAUAACGAAACUAUUUCCCAGACAGAAGAGAGCUGGGCAGGCAAAAAGGGGACACCGAGGUAUCACAAAGGUAGUAGCUGCAGGAAGCAGCUGUCUCCCUUAGAGAUGGGGAUAUGUCGAGAUUACUAAAACUUGGAAGUUUCUAGGAGGAGCCCGCAGAGCUGGGACUCAGCCCCUAGGGAGAAGGCAUGCUCAAAUGCAACUCUGCUCGGAGCUUGGAGUCUGGAGAAGCGACUCUUUGGAGCUGGGAUUCUGACUCUGCAGAGGGAGGGUGCCAGUGGCUGGGGCCUCAUUUCAGAGAGAGCUCAUGGGCUUGGUUCUGGGUGAGGAACAACCGCAAACUAGAGCCACCUGUGCGGCUGGAACCAGCAGCUGCUGCGGGGUGAAGACCUGAUAGGAACGGGAAGCAAACCAAGGAGAAGGUCUCCAUCCUCCCUCCACCCCUCAUGCUCCCUGUGGCCUCCUUGACAGAGCCGAACAAGGAGCCAGCUGGAAAAGGAGAAUGUCGUUUGCAGAAGUUGAGCCCCGGCCUCAGAAGUGGACUUACGGAGGAGGGGAAGAUUGGGGCAGACAAGAGUGGCUUCGUAACCAGCCACCCAUCAGGUACCAGGCUGCAGGAGGAUUGUCAAUCAUGAGGCCUCCCUUAGUUCUUGGGACGCUCUUGUGCCUGAGGAAUUCCUGCUGACGUGUCGCUGAGGACCCGGAGGCCUGGAGAGAGGAGCUACUAGGCUGAGAAUGCACCCUUCUCACUCUGUGUUCAUGGCUGGUUCCACGACGUCUGCUGAAGGGGACUGGAACCCAACCUGUGAUAUCUCCAAGGUCUCUUGUGAUUACGUGGGCCCACCCAGAUUAUCCAGAAAGAUAUCCCAUCUGAGGAUUUCUGAGCACAUCUUCAGAGUGGCUGUGGCCAUGUAAGGUAACGUAUUCACAGGUUCUGGGACAAUCACGGGGACAUCUUUGUUGGGGCUAGAGGUUGGUGGAACAUUAGUUUGCCUGGUGCAGAUGGUUCCCCUUCACUACUCGAGAAACAGGUAAUACCUUUUGGUAACUUUAAUUUUUUUUUUAAUGUUUAUUUAUU